RNAcentral lists this transfer RNA (68 nucleotides) under Marmota monax (woodchuck). Its description in RNAcentral is "tRNA.Ala". The record is from RNAcentral. Lineage: Eukaryota; Metazoa; Chordata; Mammalia; Rodentia; Sciuridae.
GUUGUAGCUCAGUGGUAGAGUGCUUGCCUAGCACAUGUGAGGCACUGGGUUCAAUUCUCAGCACCAUA